RNAcentral lists this ribosomal RNA (1387 nucleotides) under Staphylococcus epidermidis. RNAcentral's name for it is "partial 23S ribosomal RNA". It matches the Rfam family "Bacterial large subunit ribosomal RNA", at positions 153 to 1540 of the family's 2925-position model. Lineage: Bacteria; Bacillati; Bacillota; Bacilli; Caryophanales; Staphylococcaceae. The record is from RNAcentral.
GACAUGUGAAUUCAUAGCAUGUCAGAAGGCAGACCCGGAGAACUGAAACAUCUUAGUACCCGGAGGAAGAGAAAGAAAAAUCGAUUCCCUGAGUAGCGGCGAGCGAAACGGGAAGAGCCCAAACCAACAAGCUUGCUUGUUGGGGUUGUAGGACACUCUAUACGGAGUUACAAAAGAACAUGUUAGACGAAUCAUCUGGAAAGAUGAAUCAAAGAAGGUAAUAAUCCUGUAGUCGAAAACAUAUUCUCUCUUGAGUGGAUCCUGAGUACGACGGAGCACGUGAAAUUCCGUCGGAAUCUGGGAGGACCAUCUCCUAAGGCUAAAUACUCUCUAGUGACCGAUAGUGAACCAGUACCGUGAGGGAAAGGUGAAAAGUACCCCGGAAGGGGAGUGAAAGAGAACUUGAAACCGUGUGCUUACAAGUAGUCAGAGCCCGUUAAUGGGUGAUGGCGUGCCUUUUGUAGAAUGAACCGGCGAGUUACGAUCUGAUGCAAGGUUAAGCAGCAAAUGUGGAGCCGCAGCGAAAGCGAGUCUGAAUAGGGCGUUGAGUAUUUGGUCGUAGACCCGAAACCAGGUGAUCUACCCUUGGUCAGGUUGAAGUUCAGGUAACACUGAAUGGAGGACCGAACCGACUUACGUUGAAAAGUGAGCGGAUGAACUGAGGGUAGCGGAGAAAUUCCAAUCGAACUUGGAGAUAGCUGGUUCUCUCCGAAAUAGCUUUAGGGCUAGCCUCAAGUGAUGAUUAUUGGAGGUAGAGCACUGUUUGGACGAGGGGCCCCUCUCGGGUUACCGAAUUCAGACAAACUCCGAAUGCCAAUUAAUUUAACUUGGGAGUCAGAACAUGGGUGAUAAGGUCCGUGUUCGAAAGGGAAACAGCCCAGACCACCAGCUAAGGUCCCAAAAUAUAUGUUAAGUGGAAAAGGAUGUGGCGUUGCCCAGACAACUAGGAUGUUGGCUUAGAAGCAGCCAUCAUUUAAAGAGUGCGUAAUAGCUCACUAGUCGAGUGACACUGCGCCGAAAAUGUACCGGGGCUAAACAUAUUACCGAAGCUGUGGAUUGUCCUUUGGACAAUGGUAGGAGAGCGUUCUAAGGGCGUCGAAGCAUGAUCGCAAGGACAUGUGGAGCGCUUAGAAGUGAGAAUGCCGGUGUGAGUAGCGAAAGACGGGUGAGAAUCCCGUCCACCGAUUGACUAAGGUUUCCAGAGGAAGGCUCGUCCGCUCUGGGUUAGUCGGGUCCUAAGCUGAGGCCGACAGGCGUAGGCGAUGGAUAACAGGUUGAUAUUCCUGUACCACCUAGUAUCGUUUUAAUCGAUGGGGGGACGCAGUAGGAUAGGCGAAGCGUGCUGUUGGAGUGCACGUCCAAGCAGUAAGGCUGAGUGUUAGGCAAA